GAUGAACGCUGGCGGCGUGCCUAAUACAUGCAAGUCGAGCGAACGGACGAGAAGCUUGCUUCUCUGAUGUUAGCGGCGGACGGGUGAGUAACACGUGGAUAACCUACCUAUAAGACUGGGAUAACUUCGGGAAACCGGAGCUAAUACCGGAUAAUAUUUUGAACCGCAUGGUUCAAAAGUGAAAGACGGUCUUGCUGUCACUUAUAGAUGGAUCCGCGCUGCAUUAGCUAGUUGGUAAGGUAACGGCUUACCAAGGCAACGAUGCAUAGCCGACCUGAGAGGGUGAUCGGCCACACUGGAACUGAGACACGGUCCAGACUCCUACGGGAGGCAGCAGUAGGGAAUCUUCCGCAAUGGGCGAAAGCCUGACGGAGCAACGCCGCGUGAGUGAUGAAGGUCUUCGGAUCGUAAAACUCUGUUAUUAGGGAAGAACAUAUGUGUAAGUAACUGUGCACAUCUUGACGGUACCUAAUCAGAAAGCCACGGCUAACUACGUGCCAGCAGCCGCGGUAAUACGUAGGUGGCAAGCGUUAUCCGGAAUUAUUGGGCGUAAAGCGCGCGUAGGCGGUUUUUUAAGUCUGAUGUGAAAGCCCACGGCUCAACCGUGGAGGGUCAUUGGAAACUGGAAAACUUGAGUGCAGAAGAGGAAAGUGGAAUUCCAUGUGUAGCGGUGAAAUGCGCAGAGAUAUGGAGGAACACCAGUGGCGAAGGCGACUUUCUGGUCUGUAACUGACGCUGAUGUGCGAAAGCGUGGGGAUCAAACAGGAUUAGAUACCCUGGUAGUCCACGCCGUAAACGAUGAGUGCUAAGUGUUAGGGGGUUUCCGCCCCUUAGUGCUGCAGCUAACGCAUUAAGCACUCCGCCUGGGGAGUACGACCGCAAGGUUGAAACUCAAAGGAACUGACGGGGACCCGCACAAGCGGUGGAGCAUGUGGUUUAAUUCGAAGCAACGCGAAGAACCUUACCAAAUCUUGACAUCCUUUGACAACUCUAGAGAUAGAGCCUUCCCCUUCGGGGGACAAAGUGACAGGUGGUGCAUGGUUGUCGUCAGCUCGUGUCGUGAGAUGUUGGGUUAAGUCCCGCAACGAGCGCAACCCUUAAGCUUAGUUGCCAUCAUUAAGUUGGGCACUCUAAGUUGACUGCCGGUGACAAACCGGAGGAAGGUGGGGAUGACGUCAAAUCAUCAUGCCCCUUAUGAUUUGGGCUACACACGUGCUACAAUGGACAAUACAAAGGGCAGCGAAACCGCGAGGUCAAGCAAAUCCCAUAAAGUUGUUCUCAGUUCGGAUUGUAGUCUGCAACUCGACUACAUGAAGCUGGAAUCGCUAGUAAUCGUAGAUCAGCAUGCUACGGUGAAUACGUUCCCGGGUCU
This 1372-nucleotide ribosomal RNA is filed under the name uncultured bacterium. Its description in RNAcentral is "bacterial SSU rRNA". It matches the Rfam family "Bacterial small subunit ribosomal RNA", at positions 28 to 1381 of the family's 1533-position model. The record is from RNAcentral.